This 654-nucleotide ribosomal RNA is filed under the name Fructilactobacillus sanfranciscensis. Its description in RNAcentral is "bacterial SSU rRNA". It matches the Rfam family "Bacterial small subunit ribosomal RNA", at positions 461 to 1113 of the family's 1533-position model. The record is from RNAcentral. Lineage: Bacteria; Bacillati; Bacillota; Bacilli; Lactobacillales; Lactobacillaceae.
CUCACGGUAUGACGGUAUCUAACCAGAAAGUCACGGCUAACUACGUGCCAGCAGCCGCGGUAAUACGUAGGUGGCAAACGUUGUCCGGAUUUAUUGGGCGUAAAGGGAGCGCAGGCGGUUUAUUAAGUCUGAUGUGAAAGCCUUCGGCUUAACCGGAGAAGUGCAUCGGAAACUGAUAAACUUGAGUGCAGAAAAGGAUAGUGGAACUCCAUGUGUAGCGGUGAAAUGCGUAGAUAUAUGGAAGAACACCAGUGGCGAAGGCGGCUCUCUGGUCUGUAACUGACGCUGAGGCUCGAAAGCAUGGGUAGCAAACAGGAUUAGAUACCCUGGUAGUCCAUGCCGUAAACGAUGAAUGCUAGGUGUUGGAAGGUUUCCGCCUUUCAGUGCCGCAGCUAACGCAUUAAGCACUCCGCCUGGGGAGUACGACCGCAAGGUUGAAACUCAAAGGAAUUGACGGGGACCCGCACAAGCGGUGGAGCAUGUGGUUUAAUUCGAUGCUACGCGAAGAACCUUACCAGGACUUGACAUCUUCUGCCAAUCUAAGAGAUUAGACGUUCCCUUCGGGGACAGAAUGACAGGUGGUGCAUGGUUGUCGUCAGCUCGUGUCGUGAGAUGUUGGGUUAAGUCCCGCAACGAGCGCAACCCUUAUCUUUA